Haliotis rubra (blacklip abalone) is the source of this 167-nucleotide long non-coding RNA. RefSeq lists it as uncharacterized. The record is from RefSeq and is a predicted model, not a curated record. Lineage: Eukaryota; Metazoa; Mollusca; Gastropoda; Lepetellida; Haliotidae. The transcript has 2 exons.
UGCCUAGACACCUAUACAUGUAAAUGAACAUACGAGAUCAAGAUCUUCACAAAUGUGGUAGUCAAGUGGCCGGGGUCGACCCACGACUCGCUCAUUUGGAGCAACUGCAGCAUUGCCACUAAGAUGGAACAGCACGCACCGGAUGGGUGGCUCCUUGGUGAUUCUGG